This 497-nucleotide ribosomal RNA is filed under the name uncultured bacterium. RNAcentral describes it as "partial 16S ribosomal RNA". It matches the Rfam family "Bacterial small subunit ribosomal RNA", at positions 28 to 507 of the family's 1533-position model. The record is from RNAcentral.
GAUGAACGCUGGCGGCGUGCCUAAUACAUGCAAGUCGAGCGAACAGACGAGUAGCUUGCUCCUCUGACGUUAGCGGCGGACGGGUGAGUAACACGUGGAUCACCUACCUAUAAGACUGGGAUAACUUCGGGAAACCGGAGCUACUACCGGAUAAUAUAUUGAACCGCAUGGUUCAAUAGUGAAAGACGGUUUUGCUGUCACUUAUAGAUGGAUCCGCGCCGCAUUAGCUAGUUGGUAAGGUAACGGCUUACCAAGGCGACGAUGCGUAGCCGACCUGAGAGGGUGGACGAGCACACUAGAACUGAGACACGGUCCAGACUCCUACGGGAGGCAGCAGUAGGGAAUCUUACGCGAUGGGCGAAAGCCUGACGGAGCAACGCCGAGUGAGUGAUGAAGGUCUGCGGAUCGUAAAGCUAUGUUAUUAGGGAGGAACAAAUGUGUAAGUAGCUAUGCACGUCUUGACGGUACCUAAUCAGAAAGCCACGGCUAACUACGUG